This 400-nucleotide unclassified non-coding RNA is filed under the name soil metagenome. Its description in RNAcentral is "partial contains 5.8S ribosomal RNA, internal transcribed spacer 2, and large subunit ribosomal RNA". The stretch from base 1 to 122 matches the Rfam family "5.8S ribosomal RNA", at positions 35 to 154 of the family's 154-position model. The record is from RNAcentral.
GAUGAAGAACGUGGCGAAAUGCGAUACUUGGUGUGAAUUGCAGAAUCCCGUGAACCAUCGAGUCUUUGAACGCAAGUUGCGCCUCAAGCCAUUAGGUUGAGGGCACGUCUGCCUGGGCGUCACAUAUCGUUGCCUGAUGCCAGUUUCCUCGUGAUGGGUGACUGUGCAGGGCGAAUGAUGGCUUCCCGUGAGCAUUGUUGCCUCAUGGUUGGUUGAAAAUUGAGUCCUUGGUAGGGAGCGCCGUGAUAGAUGGUGGUUGAGUGACGAACGAGACCCAAUCAUGUGAGACCCCUACCGAAUUUGGCCUUCAUGACCCACAUGCGUCUUUGGAACGCUCAUGACGAGACCUCAGGUCAGGCGGGGCUACCCGCUGAGUUUAAGCAUAUCAAUAAGCGGAGGA